This 696-nucleotide ribosomal RNA is filed under the name uncultured bacterium. Its description in RNAcentral is "bacterial SSU rRNA". It matches the Rfam family "Bacterial small subunit ribosomal RNA", at positions 94 to 788 of the family's 1533-position model. The record is from RNAcentral.
AGUGGCGAACGGGUGAGUAACGCGUAGGUAAGCUGCCGUAAGGUUUGGGAUAGCCCUACGAAAGUAGGAUUAAUACCAGUUAGUUUAUUAGUUACCUAAGUAACUUUUAAUAAAGGAUUCGUCCGCCUUACGAUGUGCCUGCGUUAGAUUAGCUUGUUGGUAGGGUAACGGCCUACCAAGGCGAUGAUCUAUAGCCGAGUUUAGAGGCUGAUCGGCCACAUUGGGACUGAGACACGGCCCAGACUCCUACGGGAGGCAGCAGCUAAGAAUCUUCCGCAAUAGUCGAAAGACUGACGGAGCGACGCCGCGUGGAUGAUGAAGGCCCUUAGGGUUGUAAAAUUCUUUUAUAGAGGACGAAUGUUUGGUGCAGACCAAUCUGACGGUACUCUUUGAAUAAGGUCCGGCUAACUACGUGCCAGCAGCCGCGGUAAUACGUAGGGACCUAGCGUUGUUCGGAAUUAUUGGGCGUAAAGGGUACGUAGGCGGUUUGAUAAGUCAGAUGUGAAAUCCUUGGGCUUAACCUGAGGUCUGCGUCUGAUACUGUCUAACUUGAGUUACAGAGAGGAAGGCGGAAUUCCUGGUGUAGGGGUGAAAUCUAUAGAUAUCAGGAAGAACAUCUGUUGCGAAGGCGGCCUUCUGGCUGUUAACUGACGCUGAUGUACGAAAGUUAGGGUAGCAAACAGGAUUAGAGACCCU